Molecule: ribosomal RNA, 253 nt
Filed under: uncultured bacterium
Lineage: Bacteria
Description: partial 16S ribosomal RNA
Rfam family: Bacterial small subunit ribosomal RNA
Source: RNAcentral
UACAGAGGGUGCGAGCGUUAAUCGGAAUUACUGGGCGUAAAGCGCACGUAGGUGGAUAUUUAAGUCGGAAGUGAAAGCCCUGGGCUUAACCUAGGAAUUGCCUCCGAUACUGGAUAUCUAGAGUAUGGUAGAGGAUAGUGGAAUUUCCGGUGUAGCGGUGAAAUGCGUAGAUAUCGGAAGGAACACCAGUGGCGAAGGCGGCUAUCUGGACCAAUACUGACACUUAGGUGCGAAAGCGUGGGGAGCAAACAGG